AUUCACUCCCCCCGCCGUGCCUCUUGAAUUCAAAGAGGAGGUCGAUUCGGCCUGGUCGGCGGCGGCGCAUCCCCCCUUCAAGGUCGAUGGAUUUCGUCGGUGGCCAUUUUUCUCCCGAUCUCGGCAAGAGGCUGCCGCCCAGGAUUAUUUGUUGGAUGCUGCCAUGGAGUCGCCUGGCAUGGAUUUGUCUCGUUCGCAAACUGCAUUUGGUUUUCUCCAGCCUGGAUCUAGUGCGGCGCCGAAUUUGACGUGGCCAGUCCAACGGCGAGCUUCGACGGAGCUACAAGAUUGGGGUCUAUAGGUCAAGAAUCGUUCUGGCCAUCUCUGCUCGUCUCUGUCAACAGUCUGCCGGAGGGUGGUGCUGCUUUAUUUGGUGCAAAGGCAAGAUGCUCACCAUCAAUCGAUGUCAUAUCUGAGUCAAUGGAACGCCUUCAGCUUGAAUCAAAGUUUGUGCAGGUCCCCCCCAAGCUAAUUUUAACAAAUGUAUUGAAGUCCCUUGGUAUUAAUGACGCAGAGUUUACCAAAUUAGAGCUCGGUGAUUGUUUCCAAGUACAAGUCCAGUUCCAUUCAAGAUUGCCUUCUGCUCGGCAGCCGGCAGUUAGGGACCCUCGGAUAAAAGAUCUGCAUCUGGCUGCCGCGCGAGGGGGGAGGGGGGACUGACCUGGAUCUGCAGCUGGAGUCAUAGCUGCACCGCAGGACCAAGCGAGAGUCGACGACUGAUUCGAGAUCCAAUCGAACCUCGCUGGCGCAAACUGGUUCGUUCCAGCAUGAGGAACCCAUGGCGCGCCAUUGCCGCCGCCGACUCCGGAGCCACAAGCAUACUCUACCGCGGCUCUCGAUGAGGGCGGCUCCAGCACCUGUGAGCCGGACGGCGAUGGACGAGAUCCGGCAACCUCGCCACCCUCCGUGCCGCCGCUCAUCUUCCUACGCCCCGACCGCCGGUGGCAAUGGCGCCGCUUUGGUCUGCAGCCAAGCCGGGGGAGGGGUGUGGGGACGCGGGACGUAUCCUGGAACCCAGGCCAAUAUUUUAAGUACCGUAGACCAUUGUAUAUUCUAUGUAUUCUUGCAGUAUAUUGCUCAACCUCGUCCUGUUCCUGGCAUUGUGUGUAAAUGCAACAUCGAGGUCCGUGUGAUAGUGUA
Long non-coding RNA from Panicum virgatum (switchgrass), 1140 nucleotides. RefSeq lists it as uncharacterized. The record is from RefSeq and is a predicted model, not a curated record. NCBI's taxonomy places the organism in Eukaryota, Viridiplantae, Streptophyta, Magnoliopsida, Poales, Poaceae. The transcript is spliced from 5 exons.